RNAcentral lists this ribosomal RNA (246 nucleotides) under Bacillus anthracis (anthrax bacterium). RNAcentral's name for it is "partial 23S ribosomal RNA". It matches the Rfam family "Bacterial large subunit ribosomal RNA", at positions 1514 to 1758 of the family's 2925-position model. The record is from RNAcentral. Lineage: Bacteria; Bacillati; Bacillota; Bacilli; Caryophanales; Bacillaceae.
AAGGAGUUAGGAUGAUAAGUAGGCAAAUACGCUUAUCGGGAAGGCUGAGCAGGGAGGGGGAAGCACCUUAUGGAGCGAAGUCUUUGAUUCCCAGAUGCCAAGAAAAGCUUCUAGAGAGAAAAAAGGUGAAGGUACCGCAAAACGAAAAAGGUAGGAGAGGAGAGAAUCCUAAGGUGUGCGAGAGAAAAAUGGUUAAGGAACUCGGAAAAAUGACCCCGUAACUUAGGGAGAAGGGGUGCUUUCUUA